GUUCAAGCGGCCGCAGAGCGGCCCAGAGUUCGCAGGUCUGGGGCUCUCUUCCCAGAGAGCUCGUAGGGGAGGACAGUCAAGGGACUCAAGCGUCUCUCUUGACUCCCCUUCUCUCGCUGUGCAGUGGCGGCGCCGAGGGGUCGACGCUCAGGGCUAAUCUCUAUGAGUCACCCUCGAGGCCCCGGGUAAUAUUGGGUGGAUCACAAGAACUAAUCUUUCAUGAUUUGGAAACCGGAAGGAAAGAAGCACUUUUGUAGCUGACUUACCUCAAUGACAUGACCAGUGUCUGAGCCUACAACUGCGCUAUCUUCCCUGGAUUUUUCUUCACCUUUUCCUUACUCAUGAGCCAGCAACCUGACAUGGUUGAUAUUUUAAUCCCAUCUUUAGAGACAAGAAAACUGUGGCUCAGUGAAGAAGAUGUGGAGCUAGGACUUGAGACCAGAUGGUGGUUUCCCAAACCCAUGCUCCUCCGCACUUGUCACACCAGCACUUCUUCCAUGUGCAUAAUUCCCUGGACCCAGUGGACUGUGGGAAGUGAUGGUGAAACAGAAUCUGAGUGCACAAUCAGACCAGUGAACAACAGAUCAGGAAGAGAGGAGUCUAACGACAGGGAGUCCUCAGGUCAUUCUGCAGCCUCUACCAACUGACACCAACUAGAAUAAGUGCAUUGAUUUGGAAAGCCAAAGACCAAGCCACACCACAGAGCUGGAGAUCUGUCCAGCACAAGUGCCCAUUCUAAGGCUUCCAGAGCCCACCUAGAACUGAGCUGCCAAUGACCACAAGCGAGAAAGGAUGUGCUCUAUAAGAAAACCUGUUCCAAGUGGAAUCCAGACUCCCAGUCCGCUCAUCACUCCUCUGUGUCGUAUUACAGAUGCUGUCUUGGCUUUAAGAAAUGCUUCCAUCAAACUACCAGAGCAAGCAAGAAAGUUUGUCCAAAUGCCUUGAUUUCAUGUAUUUUUCUCCUUUUCAAUGGUAGGAAAGAAACUCCAUAUGUCCUUCUAAAUAUUUGACAGAAAUCUGCUAGAAAAAUUCAAUGCUAAUAUAUUUCAGUUCUCAUGAAACAUAAGGCACUCCAGCAAUGCCGCUAAAACCCGUCAAAAUACAUUCUCCAUGAACAGACUCAUGUCCCUGAAGAGUGACUUGAUGCAAGAGGGUGGCACAGAACUGUGGAAAGAAAUUGGAACAUGAACUUAAUAAAUUAGCAUAUGUAAUGCACUGAAACAUUUACACAUAACAGAGAUUAGAGGAGAACUGACCUCUAGGAAGGUUUGGGUUCUUAAGUCAUCCAGGUCUUGAUGGCCAAGGCCAUCUAUAAAAGAAAUAUUUUCCUUUUUUCAUGGUGACUAAAAAAUAAAUUUUAAAAGUAUAUUAUUUGUAGUUUAGUUCCAAUGAUCUCCAUGUUUCCCUGAGGUCAUUUUCUUGUUCUUCUUUGAUGGUACCUAGUAUUGUCUGAUGUUGGCCAUAUCAGGGCCUGGCAAAGGAAACUAAGCGGGGAAAUGGGGGCAUCACCUUUGACCAAACCUACUCUGGCAGGUGUAAAGCAGGCAGGAGGAGUUCCUUUCUUGGCCUAAGAGGUAAUCAUAGCCAUUGAUCUUUUUUUUUUUUUUUGCUUUUUUAUACUGACUGUUCCUCAGACAAUAGUUCCUAAUAUUGAUUGGAAACAUUUCUAAUGACUGGUGGUAAUCAGGGCAUGUGCUUGGCUCUGAAGAAGUCCAGUGAGACCUGAAAUCACUUUCCACAUUUGCUUGGAAAGAAGGUGGCACAUGGCAGCCAGGGUGAUCUUCAUAAUGUAAGGUCCUGCUUGUCACUUGUCCACUUCAACCUUUCCAGGUGCUUUCUACCUCACCAGAAUAUAAACCGAAGCUUUCUGCAUGGCCCACCUGGCUCUGCUUGCUCUAGCCCCUGCCCUCACCUCUCUCGCCGCUUUUCCCUUGGCCACAUUGCUCUAGCCACCUUGGCUCUAUCUGUCCCUUGGACUUGUCAAGGUCAUCUCCACCUUAGGGACUUGCAUGUGUUCCUCUGCCUGGAAAGCCCUUCCUUUAGAUCUUUUUCCUGCUUGCCAUUUGGGUCUCAGUUCAAGACCCUUGGUCAGAGAGUUCAUGACUAUCCAGGACUCUGCCCUCUGCCCUACGUCAUCUUCUUAGCACUUAUCACUAUUGUGCAUCUUCCCCUUCAUGUGUCUACAUGUUUACCACUGUCUCCUCCAACAGAAGGUAAGUUCCACGAGCUCAGGGAGCUUUUUUCUCUUAUCCAUACUGCAUUGCACCUCCUUGAACAGCUCAAUAAUUGUUGAAGAAGUGGGGAAUGAGCAGGGAUUCAAACUCCAGAGCUUGGGCUACCACCUCUCACAAGAGAAGUUCAACAUCUCUCUGUCUCCUUUUAAAUAUUGUCUCUUAUCUAUUGCUGGGCCUGCAAACCAGGAGGGUCCAUUCAUACCUUCAUUGGGGUGAAAAUUAAGAACCUGUCUUUUCUUACAUCCCUAUUCCCCUCCCAAAAGAACAAGCUAACUAUUGUCCAAACACUAUUUAUUAAAAAGCUGUCUUUUUUUGACCUAGUGUGGAAAGUGAGUGGGAAUCACGAGAUUAAUGGUGAGUUAAAUUUAAUAUAUUUUAGGCUGUUCUUCUGGACUAUUCUGUUACAUCUUAUAUUAGUAGCUCACAAAUUUAAUUACUGUACCUUUAAAAAAUAUGAGUAAUAUCUUAAUAAAUGGAUCCUCUUCACACCUCUUUUAUUUUUUCUAAACAUUUCUAAACUAUUUUUGACUAUUCUAUCAGAUGGUUUUGAUUUUUAGACUCUUUUUGAAAAGUUAAAAGAUGUCUGGUUCAGAUUUUGAUUUGCAUUGCAUUAAACCUCUAACCUAAUUUUGGAAGAAUUCAUCUUUACACCAUCUUUCUUCCAGUGAACUGCUAGAUUUCUUGGAGAUCUGCAGUUUUAACUUUUUAAGUUUUAACUUCACAUUUUUUGCUCUUAUUAUGGAUGGAGUUAGUUUCCAUUCUAUGCCCCAUCCCCUCAAUGGUUUGAAAUUCAUAUGUAGAUUUUAGUUCAGGGAAGAUUAAUGGCUAAGCUACAAACCUCUGAAAUGGGAAGUUCCACCGUAAAUCUCAGAACCACUUGAACCAUACUGUGUAAUUAUGCCAAAUGAUGUAGAUUUAUGAAUAGAUCUGGUAGGAAUAUUUUCUUUGAAUAAAACGGAUUUUUUAUUUUGCAUUUAACUGUGUUCAAGAUUGCUAUAUUCUUGUACAGGUUCUUUAUACAUCAGGUAAAUGUUCAUGAUCUGACCUCAUCUAUGCUUUCAGUGCUGCCUGGGAAUUCCAAUAUUUCUCCACAUUGUUUUCUUUGCAUUUGAUGCAGUAGCUAUUUUAAACCCUCUCUACAAUGUUGAACUUCCAAUUCCACUAUCCCCUCACUUUCAGAAGACACGUUUGCCUCAGAAAGACAGAUGGGGAGGGGGUGGGGGGUAGGGGGACAGAGAGGUAAUAAACAUAUGGAACAUAAAACAAAAUCUCCUCACCUUCCUGACAUGAAAUUUACCCACUUAAUUGUGAGGUAGGAGGUGGGACUCAACUCUGGAGGCUGGGCUCAGACACUGGACUAAACUGAGGACUAGUUAAAACAGGGCCAGGAUAGAAGCAGCUUUCCAUAAGACACCCCACCAGUGUGCUAUGUCAGUUUACCACUGCCACGGCAACACCCGGAGGUUACCACCCCUUUUCAUAGCAACAAUCUGACAAGUUGCCACCUUCAUAUAAAUUUCUUCAUAAACUGCCCCUUAACUUACAUGUAAUUAAAAGUAUAAUUACUAUAUUUAUGUAAAUAUGACUGCAGAAGUGCCUCUGAGCUGCUGCUCUGGGCACACUGCCUAUGGGGUAGCCUUGCUGUGCAAGGAGCAGUACCUCUGCUGCUGCUAUACACUGCCGCUUCGAUUAUAGUUUCUGUUUAGCAUCCUCCACUCACCCUUGAAUUCUUUCCUGGGCAAAACCAAGAACCCUCUUGGGUUAAGCCCUAAUUUUGGGGCUCACCUGCCCUGUAUCACUUGUAUCUGGACCAAUCUAUCUUUGCUGUUCCAAUGCCUAUGUCCCAUCUGUUAUCUGAACUCCAUCUCCCCGUAUCUCCAAGAAUCCCUUAUUGUUGGGCAUUCAGGUUGUCAUUUCCCUACAAUAAAAACACAAUGCUUGAUGAACUACAUUGUAAUAUACCCCUGGGUGCUUCUCCAGGUUUUUCUUUGGAUAAAUAAUUGAAAGUACAAUUGCCAGAUCAAAGGGUAUGCACACUUUGAUUCCUUUGGAUUACCAAGUUAUCAGACUCUAAUAUGUGCUCCCACUAUUUUAUGGUGGCAGGCUGCCUGUUUUCCUGAACCCUUACCAACACUAAAUGUCAUUCUUUUCGUUUCUUGAUACAGAGUCUCACUUUAUCACCCAAGGUGGAGUGCAGUGGCACAAUAUCAGCUCACUGCAACCUCCAUUUCCUGGGCUUAAGUGAUCCUCCCACCUUAGCCUCCGGAGUAGCUGGGACCACAGGUGCUCACCACUAUGGCUGGCUAAUUUUUGUAUUUUUUUGUAGAGAGGGGUCUUGCUACAUCGCCCAAGCUGGUCUCAAACACCUGGGCCCAAGCGAUAUGCUUGCCUUGGCCUCCUAAAGUGUUGGCAUUACAAGAGUGAACCAAUUAUCCUUCUUUUUAACCAUCCAAUUUAUUAGGCAAAAGUGGCAUCUCAUUAAUUUAAUUUGCAUUUUUACUGAUUGAGCAAAUGAUAAACUCUCCCUUGUUCAUGGCCAUUUUCUCUGUGCUUCAAUAGUGCCAGGCACACUGACACACUCAAUAAACAUUUGUUGAAUUAAAAAAAAUGAAUGUGCUAACCAUAUGGCAAGUUCUGGGCAAGGUGUUAUAUUAAAUAAAAAUUGUAAUACAAUUAAAGUUGAAUAUCUUUUCAUAUGCUUAUUGUCCAUUUACAUUUUCUCUUUUUUUUUUUUUUUUUUUUUUUUGGUGACUUGCCUGCUUUGUACAUUACCCUAUAUCUGUUGGAGUUUGAUAUGGUUUGGGUCUGUGUCCCUGCCCAAAUCUCAUGUCAAAUUGUAAUCCCCAAUAUUGGAGGUGGGGCCUGGUGGAAAGUGAUUGGAUCGUGGGGGCAGAUUUCCUCUUUGGUGCUGUUCUCAUGAUAGUGAGUGAGUUGUCUUGAGAUCUGAUUGUUUAAAAGUGUGUGGCACCUCCUCCCUCACUCUCUUCCUCCUGCUCCAGCCAUGUAAGACAUGCCUGCUUCCCCUUUGCCUUCUGCUAUGAUUGUAAGUUUCCUGAGGCCUCUUCAGCCAUGCUUCCUGUAGAGCCUGCAGAACUGUGAGCCAAUUAAACCUCUUUUCUUUAUAAAUUACCCAGUCUAAGGUUUUUUCUUUAUAGCAGUGUGAGAAUUAACUAAUACAGAGUUAUAAAGAUCUUAAUUCUUCACCCAUUAUAUAUUUAAGCACUAUGUCUUCUUAACUAUUCUUUUAAUUUUAUGGUUUUGAUUAACAUAAGUUCUUAAUAUUUAUGCAGUCAUAUGGAUUAAAGACUUACAUGUUAGACCUAAAACCAUAAAAACCCUAGAAGAAAACCUAGGCAAUACCAUUCAGGACAUACGCAUGAGCAAGGACUUCAUGUCUAAAACACCAAAAGCAAUGGCAACAAAAGACAAAAUUGACAAAUGGGAUCUAAUUAAACUAAACAGCUUCUGCACAGCAAAAGAAACUACCAUCAGAGUGAACAGGCAACCUACAAAAUGGGAGAAAAUUUUUGCAACCUACUCGUCUGACAAAGGGCUAAUAUCCAGAAUCUACAAUGAACUCAAACAAAUUUACAAGAAAAAAACAAACAACCCCAUCAAAAAGUGGGCGAAGGAUAUGAACAGACACUUCUCAAAAGAAGACAUUUAUGCAGCCAAAAAACAUAUGAAAAAAUGCUCAUCAUCACUGGCCAUCAG
RNAcentral lists this long non-coding RNA (5948 nucleotides) under Homo sapiens (human). RNAcentral's name for it is "non-protein coding EIF1B-AS1:15". The record is from RNAcentral. Lineage: Eukaryota; Metazoa; Chordata; Mammalia; Primates; Hominidae.